This 921-nucleotide ribosomal RNA is filed under the name Acinetobacter baumannii. Its description in RNAcentral is "bacterial SSU rRNA". It matches the Rfam family "Bacterial small subunit ribosomal RNA", at positions 1 to 914 of the family's 1533-position model. The record is from RNAcentral. Lineage: Bacteria; Pseudomonadati; Pseudomonadota; Gammaproteobacteria; Moraxellales; Moraxellaceae.
UUUAACUGAAGAGUUUGAUCAUGGCUCAGAUUGAACGCUGGCGGCAGGCUUAACACAUGCAAGUCGAGCGGGGGAAGGUAGCUUGCUACUGGACCUAGCGGCGGACGGGUGAGUAAUGCUUAGGAAUCUGCCUAUUAGUGGGGGACAACAUCUCGAAAGGGAUGCUAAUACCGCAUACGUCCUACGGGAGAAAGCAGGGGAUCUUCGGACCUUGCGCUAAUAGAUGAGCCUAAGUCGGAUUAGCUAGUUGGUGGGGUAAAGGCCUACCAAGGCGACGAUCUGUAGCGGGUCUGAGAGGAUGAUCCGCCACACUGGGACUGAGACACGGCCCAGACUCCUACGGGAGGCAGCAGUGGGGAAUAUUGGACAAUGGGGGGAACCCUGAUCCAGCCAUGCCGCGUGUGUGAAGAAGGCCUUAUGGUUGUAAAGCACUUUAAGCGAGGAGGAGGCUACUUUAGUUAAUACCUAGAGAUAGUGGACGUUACUCGCAGAAUAAGCACCGGCUAACUCUGUGCCAGCAGCCGCGGUAAUACAGAGGGUGCGAGCGUUAAUCGGAUUUACUGGGCGUAAAGCGUGCGUAGGCGGCUUAUUAAGUCGGAUGUGAAAUCCCCGAGCUUAACUUGGGAAUUGCAUUCGAUACUGGUGAGCUAGAGUAUGGGAGAGGAUGGUAGAAUUCCAGGUGUAGCGGUGAAAUGCGUAGAGAUCUGGAGGAAUACCGAUGGCGAAGGCAGCCAUCUGGCCUAAUACUGACGCUGAGGUACGAAAGCAUGGGGAGCAAACAGGAUUAGAUACCCUGGUAGUCCAUGCCGUAAACGAUGUCUACUAGCCGUUGGGGCCUUUGAGGCUUUAGUGGCGCAGCUAACGCGAUAAGUAGACCGCCUGGGGAGUACGGUCGCAAGACUAAAACUCAAAUGAAUUGAC